Molecule: transfer RNA, 68 nt
Filed under: Marmota monax (woodchuck)
Lineage: Eukaryota; Metazoa; Chordata; Mammalia; Rodentia; Sciuridae
Description: tRNA.Ala
Source: RNAcentral
GGAUGUGGUUCAGUGGUAGAGCGCUUGCCUAGCAAUGUGUGAGACACUGGGUUCGAUUCUCAGCACCA